RNAcentral lists this ribosomal RNA (253 nucleotides) under uncultured bacterium. RNAcentral's name for it is "partial 16S ribosomal RNA". It matches the Rfam family "Bacterial small subunit ribosomal RNA", at positions 524 to 776 of the family's 1533-position model. The record is from RNAcentral.
UACAGAGGUCUCAACCGUUGUUCGGAUUCAUUGGGCGUAAAGUGUGCGCAGGCGGCCGAGCAAGUCGAGUGUGAAAGCCCCGAGCUUAACUUGGGAACUGCGCUCGAAACUACUUGGCUAGAGUGUGGCAGAGGGAGGUGGAAUUCCACGUGUAGCGGUGAAAUGCGUAGAGAUGUGGAGGAACACCGAUGGCGAAGGCAGCCUCCUGGGCCAACACCGACGCUCAUGCACGAAAGCGUGGGGAGCAAACAGG